UGGGGAAUAUUGGACAAUGGGCGCAAGCCUGAUCCAGCCAUGCCGCGUGAGUGAUGAAGGCCUUAGGGUUGUAAAGCUCUUUCGCCGACGAAGAUAAUGACGGUAGUCGGAGAAGAAGCCCCGGCUAACUUCGUGCCAGCAGCCGCGGUAAUACGAAGGGGGCGUAGCGUUGUUCGGAAUCACUGGGCGUAAAGCGCACGUAGGCGGAUUGUUAAGUCAGGGGUGAAAGCCCUGGAGCUCAACUCCAGAACUGCCCCUUGAUACUGGCAAUCUCGAGUCCGGAAGAGGUAAGUGGAACUGCGAGUGUAGAGGUGAAAUUCGUAGAUAUUCGCAAGAACACCAGUGGCGAAGGCGGCUUACUGGUCCGGUACUGACGCUGAGGUGCGAAAAGCGUGGGGGAGCAAAACAGGAUUAGAUA
Molecule: ribosomal RNA, 418 nt
Filed under: uncultured bacterium
Lineage: Bacteria
Description: partial 16S ribosomal RNA
Rfam family: Bacterial small subunit ribosomal RNA
Source: RNAcentral